ACAGGGUGACAGGUGGUGCAUGGUUGUCGUCAGCUCGUGUCGUGAGAUGUUGGGUUAAGCCCGCAACGAGCGCAACCCUCGACCUUAGCUGCCAGCAUUCAGUUGGGCACUCUAAGGUGACUGCCGGCUAAAAGUCGGAGGAAGGUGGGGAUGACGUCAAAUCAUCAUGCCCCUUAUGACCUGGGCUACACACGUGCUACAAUGGGCGGUACAAAGGGUCGCGAACCCGCGAGGGGGAGCCAAUCCCAAAAAGCCGCUCUCAGUUCGGAUUGCAGGCUGCAAUUCGCCUGCAUGAAGUCGGAAUCGCUAGUAAUCGCAGGUCAGCAUACUGCGGUGAAUACGUUCCCGGGCCUU
RNAcentral lists this ribosomal RNA (354 nucleotides) under uncultured Anoxybacillus sp. RNAcentral's name for it is "bacterial SSU rRNA". It matches the Rfam family "Bacterial small subunit ribosomal RNA", at positions 1026 to 1382 of the family's 1533-position model. Lineage: Bacteria; Bacillati; Bacillota; Bacilli; Caryophanales; Anoxybacillaceae. The record is from RNAcentral.